GUUGACCCUCUGUGUUGCCCUCCUGCAGGGUUUAGGAGCCUUUGCUGUGGACGGAGAGAAGGGGACAUGAGCGGCCAUUAAGGGGGGCUAGAGAGCCGGCAAAAGGCGUCAGGAUUAAACCGGAGUCACCGCUUCCCGUCCACCGGCCAUUCCCCCUCAACUCCGAACGGUGGGAUCUCGCUCUCCGCCCGUGGAUGUCCGCAAGACUCUGGCUGCGGUAAAUAAGGACUUUGGCUCGUUAACCCGCUGGAGCCAAGUUGUAUUCCAAUGAAAUAAAUGUAUUUUCAAUGAAAUAAAUGUAUUUUCCAUGAAA
Molecule: long non-coding RNA, 313 nt
Organism: Amblyraja radiata (thorny skate)
Lineage: Eukaryota; Metazoa; Chordata; Chondrichthyes; Rajiformes; Rajidae
Exons: 2
Source: RefSeq, a predicted model, not a curated record